GAGACUAUACUUUCAGGGGCCAUUUCUAUAGUAUAUUACUAAAGAAUUGUGGCUGAAAGUAGAUUUCAGAAUUGAUGGUGAGUGAGCAGAACCAUGAGAACA
This is a small nucleolar RNA of Sarcophilus harrisii (Tasmanian devil), 102 nucleotides long. Its record names the gene U3. It matches the Rfam family "Small nucleolar RNA U3". Rfam says of the family: Small nucleolar RNAs (snoRNAs) are involved in the processing and modification of rRNA in the nucleolus. There are two main classes of snoRNAs: the box C/D class, and the box H/ACA class. U3 snoRNA is a member of the box C/D class. Lineage: Eukaryota; Metazoa; Chordata; Mammalia; Dasyuromorphia; Dasyuridae. The record is from Ensembl.